CGUGUAGGCGGCCACACAGGUCAGCUGUGAAAACUCGAGGCUCAACCUCGAGACGUCGGUUGAAACCGUAUGGCUAGAGUCCGGAAGAGGAGAGUGGAAUUCCCGGUGUAGCGGUGAAAUGCGCAGAUAUCGGGAAGAACACCCAUGGCGAAGGCAGCUCUCUGGGACGGUACUGACGCUGAGACGCGAAAGCGUGGGGAGCGAACA
This 207-nucleotide ribosomal RNA is filed under the name uncultured bacterium. RNAcentral describes it as "partial 16S ribosomal RNA". It matches the Rfam family "Bacterial small subunit ribosomal RNA", at positions 568 to 774 of the family's 1533-position model. The record is from RNAcentral.